CAAUAGCAUAUAUUAACGUUGUUGCAGUUGAAAAGCUCGUAGUUGAACUUUUGGUAGGAGCGACCUGGCCUUGGGCGCAUGCCCUUGUUUGCCGUGUGUCGUAUCUGGCCAUCCUUUUCCGCUUCGGCGGGAAUCCUUUACUGUGAGUAAACUGGAGUGCUCAAAACAAGACGUUUGUUUGGUACAUUAAAGCAUGGAAUAAUAAGAUAGGACCUGGUUACUAUUUUGUUGGUUUGCAUAGCUAGGUAAUGAUUAACAGGGACAGUUGGGGGUAUUCGUAUUUAAUUGUCAGAGGUGAAAUUCUUGGAUUUAUGAAAGACGAAUGACUGCGAAAGCAUUUACCAAGGAUGUUUUCAUUAA
Molecule: ribosomal RNA, 360 nt
Filed under: uncultured eukaryote
Lineage: Eukaryota
Description: partial 18S ribosomal RNA
Rfam family: Eukaryotic small subunit ribosomal RNA
Source: RNAcentral